GGAGUCUGGACCGUGUCUCAGUUCCAAUGUGGGGGACCUUCCUCUCAGAACCCCUACCCAUCGUCGGUUUGGUGGGCCGUUACCCCGCCAACUGCCUAAUGGGACGCGAGCCAAUCCGAUACCGAUAAAUCUAUUAAACAAAGAUCAUGCGGUCUCUGUUGUUACGGAGUAUUACACGACGUUUCCAUCGACUAUCCUCCAGUAUCGGGCAUGUUGCUCACGCGUUACUCACCCGUGCGCCGGUCGCCAUCAAAGGAAGCAAGCUUCCUUCAUGCUGCCCCUCGACUUGCAUGUGUUAAGCCUGUAGCUAGCGUUCAUC
This 319-nucleotide ribosomal RNA is filed under the name uncultured Bacteroidales bacterium. RNAcentral describes it as "partial 16S ribosomal RNA". The record is from RNAcentral. Lineage: Bacteria; Pseudomonadati; Bacteroidota; Bacteroidia; Bacteroidales.